GGGAACGUGGCUCAGUGGUAGAGUGCUUGCCUCACAUGCACGAAGCCAUAGGUUUGAUUCCUCGGCACCA
Molecule: non-coding RNA, 70 nt
Organism: Dipodomys ordii (Ord's kangaroo rat)
Lineage: Eukaryota; Metazoa; Chordata; Mammalia; Rodentia; Heteromyidae
Source: Rfam